AUCGAACGCUGGCGGCAGGCCUAACACAUGCAAGUCGAACGAGUGGCGGACGGGUGAGUAAUGUCUGGGAAACUGCCUGAUGGAGGGGGAUAACUACUGGAAACGGUAGCUAAUACCGCAUACCAUCAGAUGUGCCCAGAUGGGAUUAGCUAGUAGGUGGGGUAACGGCUCACCUAGGCGACGAUCCCUAGCUGGUCUGAGAGGAUGACCGGCCACACGGGAGCGGAGACACGGUCCAGACUCCUGCGGUAUGCAGCAGUGGGGAAUAUUGCACAAUGGGCGCAAGCCUGAUGCAGCCAUGCCGCGUGUAUGGAGAAGGCCUUCGGGUUGUAAAGUACUUUCAGCGGGGAGGCGUUACCCGCAGAAGAAGUACCGGCUAACUCCGUGCCAGCAGCCGCGGUAAUUC
This 406-nucleotide ribosomal RNA is filed under the name uncultured bacterium. Its description in RNAcentral is "partial 16S ribosomal RNA". It matches the Rfam family "Bacterial small subunit ribosomal RNA", at positions 30 to 526 of the family's 1533-position model. The record is from RNAcentral.